CUGCCCCAUCCCUCAGCUACAAAAAUGGGCACAUGGCCCAGGCUUGGCCAAUUAUUCCUUGGCUUUAAUGACUGGUCCUCAUGGUGGACAGGAGGCUCAAGUUGGUCCAAUCAGAGUUCUUUCAAGACGGUGAAUGCGCUCCCUUUCUUUCCUUGCAGAUCCUGAGCUGGAGCAAGGUAAGUCUGGAACUGCCUACUGCCAGUUUUCCUUUCUUUGGUCCUACCCUCUGGAGGGAGUUAUUUGAGGAAAGGCAGAAUGAGAUCAACACAAAGAGAGAAGCGGAGAUGCAAACUGCAGAGACAGGGUCUUACUCCGUUUUCCAGGUUGGAGCGCAGUCGUGCAAUCAUGGCUCACUGCAGCCUUGAACUCCUAGGCUCAAGCGAUCCUCUUGCCUCAUCCUCUCGAGGAGCUAGGACCACAGGUUAUGGCCACAAGAUCUACACAUUCUCCUUGGUUUUUGGCUGGAGCAGCUCUCACCACCACUUGUGCUAUUGUUUUGGGGCCAGUUGGCCACUGCUGCCUCCACUGUUGCCAUGAAACAGCAGCCUGCUUGUAAGCAUAAAGUCACAGUGCUCAUGGUAGAAUAUUUGUAAAGGUGGCUGCAAUGACCCCUUUCAUUGCCAUGUGCAUGCCGCAUUACAGUAUGCCUACUCUACUCCCAUCAAGAUGUGUAUUUCCCUUCUCCUUGAAUCUGGGCUGGCCUUGUAACUUCUUUGACCAACAGAAUGUGUGGAAAUGACCUUGUGUGACUUCUGAGUCUCAGCUUCAAGACAUCUUGCAGCCUCUUGUCUCCUCAUCUUGGAAUGCAAUGCUGCCAUGUUAGAAAGCCUCCAAGAGGGUGAAUCAUCAUAUGAAGAGAAGCAACCAUGAAGGAUGACCCUAUGAUGAGAUGGUGCCAUCAGGAAGCACCAAGUGCCCAACAUGUCACUGUGGCCAUCUUGGACCAUUCAACCCCAAGUAAGCCACUAGAUGACUGCAGCCAUGUAGGUAACCCCUGGAAAGAUCAACAGAAGAACCACUAAGCUGAGCCCAGUCCAUAUUGCUCGCCUGUAGUAUUAUAAGCAAAUAAAAUGGUUGUUG
Molecule: long non-coding RNA, 1080 nt
Filed under: Homo sapiens (human)
Lineage: Eukaryota; Metazoa; Chordata; Mammalia; Primates; Hominidae
Description: HSALNT0111115
Source: RNAcentral